RNAcentral lists this ribosomal RNA (253 nucleotides) under uncultured bacterium. RNAcentral's name for it is "partial 16S ribosomal RNA". It matches the Rfam family "Bacterial small subunit ribosomal RNA", at positions 524 to 776 of the family's 1533-position model. The record is from RNAcentral.
UACGAAGGGGGCUAGCGUUGCUCGGAAUCACUGGGCGUAAAGCGCACGUAGGCGGAUCUUUAAGUCAGGGGUGAAAUCCCAGAGCUCAACUCUGGAACUGCCUUUGAUACUGUCGAUCUGGAGUAUGGAAGAGGUGAGUGGAAUUCCGAGUGUAGAGGUGAAAUUCGUAGAUAUUCGGAGGAACACCAGUGGCGAAGGCGGCUCACUGGUCCAUUACUGACGCUGAGGUGCGAAAGCGUGGGGAGCAAACAGG